GGGAAGCCAGACUGUUUGAAGAGCCAGGCCUAGGCGAUUUUGAUCAAAAUCGGCCUUUUUGUUUGCGAAUUUUAAAACGUUGCUUUCCGUAUUCCCGUGUUUCUGUGUUUCAAAAAGGCUGUGCAAAGGUUACAAGUGCUAGUGUUGGUCAUAGUGCUGGACAUCUAAUUGAUCCUGUGUUGUGUUUACAGUCUAACACAACAGCAUCUCUAUCGGACUGGGGUCUUGUUACAGCAGAUGUGCUUUUGUGAGUCCAUAGUUCCCCUGAGGACCACCACCCUUCCCUGAUUGGUCUGCCUUCCCCCACUUCGGCGUCCCCAUCCAUCUCUAAAUAAGGAAGCAGAGGGAUGAAGAAGGAAACAGGGUGAACUGAAUAAGAAUGGAAGCAAAGGGGAAUCCAGAGCCUGCUUCAGGUCUGUGACAGCUAUGCCCUAAAAAGGUAAUCCAGUCUGUGGGCAUGAUGGGAGGGGCACUGAAGUAAAGAGAGAGGCAGAAGCACAGGCCAGGUAACAACUGUCUCCCUCUUGGAGCCGGUUGUCCUAACCAAUUAGCUGCGGCCUUGUUUUACUUUAUGACUGUGUAAAUAUAUAUGGGGAAGCCAUCUAAAUAGCUGUCCCAUCGACCAUUGUGACCAUUGUAUUACAGGUAAGCACUACCCUUGUCCCACCUAUGCCUUUAAGGCAUGUUGCAAUGCCAAAAAAGGCAAUUGAAAGUUGACAGCAGGGAUUGGCAAAACACGUCUGGAAAUUUUGAUCCCGUCUUUCCCUCUGUCUCUCUCUCUCUCUAUUUUCUCUUUUCACUGUCUCUGUCUCUCUGCUCCUCAUUUCUUCUCUCAGAACGAGGGAUUAGUGUACAGAUAUGAUGAAAAAUAUGUGUUUGACCAGCUAUAUUCACAGAACCUGUACUGUGAACAUUAAGGCUUCCAAAAUAAGAUGAUAUUUCCAGAAUGGAUGGAAUAUUUGGGUCAGAUGUUCAGCUCAAGGGAAGAGCAUGCUGAAAUGACACAUUUACCAUAUUCAAAUAUUUGUUUGUGUUUCCAGUGAUUUCUAUCUGUGAUGAACACAGAAGCUAUCUUGAGCAAAACUUGUUAAUGGCAAAUUGUAAUUGGAGUCAAGUGUGAUCUCAAAAAAAAAAAUUAUUGUAAUUUAUCAACUGUGUGUUGAAGUUUUUAUUUUAGUAGCAACAUAUAUUUUAAUUUCAUAUCGGUUAUAUGUACUGGUUUGUUGAAAAAGAAAAAAAACGUGGGCCAAGACUUGGUUCUGUUCACCAGCUGAUUUGAAGGAGCAAGACCUGAGAAGUGAGCUCACAGUCAAUUGUUAGAGAGGGUUUAAGAUGACUAAAUGAUUGCUGAAGUUUAGUAUACAUCUCCAGAGAGGAGUCUGAUGUUUAACUGGAUGGAUAUUACAUUCUGAUUAAACAUUAUCUAUAAGCUUUAAACAUUCAAUGUGCAGGAAUAAAUUGUUCAUAGCAAGGUCAAUU
Long non-coding RNA from Puntigrus tetrazona (Sumatra barb), 1479 nucleotides. RefSeq lists it as uncharacterized. The transcript has 3 exons. Lineage: Eukaryota; Metazoa; Chordata; Actinopteri; Cypriniformes; Cyprinidae. The record is from RefSeq and is a predicted model, not a curated record.